Non-coding RNA from Nicotiana tabacum (common tobacco), 5078 nucleotides. The record is from RefSeq and is a predicted model, not a curated record. NCBI's taxonomy places the organism in Eukaryota, Viridiplantae, Streptophyta, Magnoliopsida, Solanales, Solanaceae.
UAGUCCACUACCGUAAACCCAGUAUCCUCUCGUCUCUAAAAUACACUGUAAUUCCUUCUACAUAAAGGACUAGGCCCAAUUUUAAUUCUCUUACACACCAACACCUUCAGAUUAGUCGUAUCCUCCACAACAAAAAAGAGAACCCUAGAGCAAAGAAAAAGAAAAAAGAAGAAAAAAAAAGAGUUGUGCCGCAACAUUUGAAAGAAAAAAUCGCAGCAGCAGCUGCUGCCUUCUUCUUCCUUCAUAAACAACCUCCCUUAGCUCGAAAACCUCAACAAACCACCCAAACCCAGCUGAAACAACAUCAAAAUCCCUCCCUUUCACCCCCAAAAUCCAGCCCGAAAAAUAGCCCCCAAUACCAUCGAAAACCAACUCAAAUCAGCUGUAAAACCAACUGAAAAUCAGCUGCGAAACCGGCUGAAAAAUUAUCUCAAAACCAGACCAAAAUGUAGCAAAAAGCCAUCUCAAAACAACCCCAAAACAUCACCUCCUAAAACUCCAUUGAAACCAACCAAGAAUUAGCUCUAAAACCCAGCAAAAAUAGCUCUGUUUCCCAGUGAAAAUCAGCUGCAAAAUUGUCCUAAAAAUCAGCCUUCCACCUCCAAACACCACCGCUAAAGUUGUUGGAUCGGAUUGAGGUUAUUUGGGUCAAGUUGAGGUCCAUGUUGUGGCUCUCGGGUCGAGGUUUUGUUCGCAAUUCUGGUGUUAUCGCCGAAUUCCGUUUCUGCUAGCUGAACAACUAUUUUUGUUGAAUAAGAUCUUGCUCAAUUAAAGGUUCAACGAGAAAAAGGAUACUAUAUCUCCACCAUCAGAAGUGACCAUGGAGGAAAAUUUGAAAGCAGAACUUUUGAAAAUUUUGCAAUGAUCAAGGAAUCUCUCAUAACUUCUCAUCGCCAAGAUCCCCUCAACAAAAUGGAGUAAUAGAACGUAAAAACAGAACCUUGCAGGAUAUGGCAAGAAGUAUGAUCGUGGAAAACUCUCUACCUCAUAAUUUCAAGGCAGAAGCUGUAAGUACAACAUGUUAUAUCAUUAACAGAUGUCUUAUUCGGCCAAUUCUUAAAAAGACUCCCUAUGAACUGUGGAACGGUAAGAAACCAAACAUUAGUUAUUUCCACCCUUUCAGAUGCAAAUAUUUCAUUCAUAACAAUGGAAAGUAUAAUUUGGGUAAGUUUGAUCGAAAGAGUGAUGAAGGUAUAUUUUUGGGUUACUCUCCCUCAAAUAGAGCUUACAGAGUUUACAACAAGAGAACCUUAUGUAUUGAAGAAUUUAUUCAUGUUAUUUUUGUUGAUACUAACCCUCGCCCAAAGAAUGAACAUAUCCUGAAGAUGAGGAAAUUUCUUGUGCUACAAAAUCUGUUCUUGUAGGUAAGGAUCAUCAAAAUGAGUCAACUAAUCUACAAAAUCAACCAGCUGAAAUUCCUCCAGAAGAAUGUGACUUACCUCAACCAGAUCAGUCGACUAUCGAAGAAAAUGUGACUUCAGCAAAUACUCCAAAUGAAUGGAAGAUUGAACCAGGAUAUCCUCAUAAGUUCAUUAUAGGAGAUCCACAGGAGGGAAUAACUACAAGGAGAUCUCAAAAGAACAAAUCUCAUGUAUCUCUCAUUUCUCAAAUUGAGCCCAAGAAAGUGGAUGAAGCUUUAAAGGAUUCUCAUUGGAUUGAUACUAUGAAAGAAGAAUUAGAUCAAUUUGAGUGAAACAAAGUCUGGAAACUUGUUCCAAAGCCUCAAAAUUCAUCUGUCAUUGGAACUAAGUGGGUUUUCAGAAAUAAAUUGAAUUAAUCAGGUCAAGUUGUUCGGAAUAAAACAAGACUGGUGGCUCAAGGUUACUCUCAAUAGGAAGGAAUCGACUAUGAUGAAACAUUUGCACCUGUAGCAAGAUUUGGAUCCAUCCGAAUUCUACUUGCUUUCGCUGCUCACAAAGGAUUGAAAUUAUUUCAAAUGGAUGUUAAAAGUACGUUCCUAAAUAUCUAUAUCUUUGAAGAAUUAUACGUGAACCAACCUCCUGGCUUUGCAAAUACCAAUUUUUCAAACCAUAUAUACAAGCUGACUAAAGCCCCGUAUGGUCUCAAACAAGCUCCACGAGCAUGAUAUGAAAGGUUGAGCUCUUUUCUUCUAAAUCAAGGUUUCAAACGAGGUAACAUCGAUACAACUCUUUUUAUUAAGCAAUCCAAUUCAGGUAAUCUUAUUACUCAAAUUUAUGUAGAUGACAUUAUCUUUGGUAGCCCUAACUUAGUUCUUUGUGAAGAAUUUGCACUUUCCAUGAAAGGUAAAUUUGAAAUGAGCAUGAUGGUAGAACUGACAUUCUUCCUUGGACUUCAAAUCAAGCAAUCCCCUAAAUGAAUUUUCAUAAGCCAAACCAAGUAUACCAAGGAGCUCAUUAAGAAAUUUGGGAUGGAAAAUGAUAAAGCUAUUAGCACUCCAAUGAGUCCAACUACCGUGCUAGAUGAAGACAGCAAUGGAAAAAUGGUUCAUGAAACCAUUUAUAGAGGGAUGAUUGAAUCUUUACUUUAUAUAACUACUAGUCGAUCAGAUAUUAUGUUUAGUAUUUGUAAUUGUGCUAGAUUUCAUUUGGCUCCUAAGGAAUCCCAUCUUACCGCUGUUAAACGCAUUAUUAGAUAUUUAAUUGGUACUCCUGAGUUCAGAUUAUGGUAUGAUCACUCUAACAAUUUCUCUCUGAGAGGCUUUUCAGAUGUUGAUUUUGCAGGAGACAAGAUUGAUAUGAAGAGUACCAGCGGGACAUGUCAAUUGCUAGGAAAUUAUUAGUAUCUUGGCAUAGCAAGAAAUAAAAUUGUGUUGUGCUAUCAACUACUGAGGCAGAAUACCUAGCUGUUGGAAGCUGUUGUACACAAGUCCUAUGGAUCAUGCACCAACUUCUUGAUUAUGAUUUUCUCUUACUUCUACUCCUAUUUUUUGUGACAAUACUAGUGCUAUCUACUUAUCUAAAAAUUCUGUGCAACAUUCUAGAGCAAAAUAUAUAGAAAUUAAAUAUUAUUUUAUUCGUGAUCAUGUAGCAAAAGGUGAUAUUACUUUAGAAUUCAUUAGUACUGAUUCUUAACUUGCUGAUAUUUUUACAAAACUGCUUUUGGAAGAAAGAUUCCGCACUUUUCAAAAAAGAUUGGCAUUGUGCCAAAUUUGUAAAUUAAAUAUUUCCUUAAGUAUUCAAAUUAUUUUACAUGCUUUCAGAAUAUUUUUUUCCUUAAUUAUAUGUGUUCUAAUUAAUUUUCUGUGUAAGUGCAAUUAUUACAUGUACCGCCGAUUAGUCACUUCUGAACCUACACUUUUGUCUGCACUUAACCCUUCCAGUAACCAAGAUGCCUCUUCACUCCUCUAAAUCUCAUCAAUAAAAACUCUCCAUCUCCAACACUUCUCUCAUUCACUACCAACCAACUCCUCUCACUAUGGCCAAAAGAAAUCCCUCCUCUACAACCAGACACAGUCGAAGGUUUCAAAAACCUCUCAACACUGAAGAACCUGUGGAUGUGGAGUCAUCCAUUGACUCAGAUUUUCUCAGAACUGACAACGAUAACAAUGCCUUAUCUAAAAAUUAUCCUAUCAGCCAGAAAAAGGAUGGCAAGAGGCCCAUGGAGCAAACCCCCAAAAAGGCUGUAUGCAAGAAGGGCAAGGUUUAAUAUUUGGAGUUUGGUCUUGAAGACAAGCUAAUCUUCUAUGGCCCUAGUGAAAAGGGUACACUCUGGGUAAUGAUGGAUGGUUUAAGAGAUCCAAGGUUGAAAGUGCUCCAACUCCUGUUGAUAGCCCGAUUGAUCAACCAGCUUCUCAGUCGACUACCUCCCUGAAUCUUCAACAAAUUCAACACUACCUUGAUAGAGUCAAGCUGCUGCUUAUGGAUAUGAAAGAACAGGCAGGUAGACAAGAUCAAGGAUGUCAUGAAGGAGACAGGUACAGAUGUGGACAAGCUUCAUAUUGACAUAGGAGCUACAAGGAGACAAGGAACCAAGGCUUCAAUUCCAUGAGUGAAAAGAUGGACAAACUCGUCAAGGAUGUUGAGAAUUCACAUGACUCCUUCUGCACCAAAGUGAUCAACACCCUCAAAUACUUUCUGGGACGAAGUUAAUUUCUCUGAUUGUGCUGUUAUGACAAAAAAUUUCUUUUUGCUUAUGUUUUUUGUUGGUAGUUGCUUUUAAACAAUUCUUUUUUUGGACUGUACUAUCUAAGCCUCUACUGAAGGCUCUAACCGCCUUAUCUUAUCAGUAUGUGAAUUAUGUUCUAUUUUUCUCUUUGUAUGUCUCUUUACUUUUUGAUUGAUGUCAAGGGGGAGAAAAAUGUGAGUAAACAACUUAGGAGGGAAUAUAGGAACAACAUAAUCUCAAGGGAAGCAUCAGCUCAGGGGGAGCAACUCCUUAAAAGGGAAGUAUUUUAAUUUACUUUACUUUGUUUACUUAUUCUUGAUUGUCAUCAUCAAAAAGGGGGAGAUUGAUAGGUUUAAGUUUAAGUUUAAAUGAUGACAAUGUUAUCUUAUGUUAUAUUUACAGGACAAACAAAAAGGAAAGAAUGAAGAUGCUUAGCAAGAUUGCUAUUGGAUUCAAAAUAGCAAGUAAGGAAAGAAUGAAGAUGCUAUUACUGCAUUGAUGAUCAAUCAAAAAAAGCAGAUUGACUCGUCCUCAAUUAAGGGAACUCAGAUUGCCAAUUAUGGAUCCUCUAAUUAAGAAGAUCGCGCUCGUGAAUUAAACUCUCCAAGCGUAAAUGUCUCAUUGAAUUCAGCUGUGACAAGGAAGGUCACAUUCGAAUAUGGGCUAGUCAAAGAGCAAUAUUUGAAGAAGCACCCUUUGGGUCAAAUCCCUUAAUUAAAGAUCUUAUGCAUCUGAUGUCGCAAAAGACUCAACGGCUCUUUUCUCUCCUAUAAGAAGGUUAAUCUCUCAAGAAGAAGAUUGCGCAACUACACAGUACACACAUUGUAUUCUAAGUCUAUCUACUUCUUAGUUCAAACACUAUACUCCUUAGUUAUCAAUGUCUCAAAAGAUAGGGAGAUCUAGAACACAAAAGAGAGUUGUGUCAACUAUUCUGAACUUAAGUGUUGAUACUGCUCGUUGGUGGUGAACGCGGUAAAACCUUUUGUAUUGUA